Molecule: non-coding RNA, 23 nt
Filed under: Arabidopsis thaliana (thale cress)
Lineage: Eukaryota; Viridiplantae; Streptophyta; Magnoliopsida; Brassicales; Brassicaceae
Source: RNAcentral
GGCGGAGACCGACGGAUCGAAUG